GUACUCUAAGGUAAUUUACCUCCUUGAUAUCUUCAAUAUCAUGCUCUAAAAUAAGCUAUUAAAAUA
RNAcentral lists this transfer RNA (66 nucleotides) under Conderis signicollis. RNAcentral's name for it is "tRNA-Phe". The record is from RNAcentral. Lineage: Eukaryota; Metazoa; Arthropoda; Insecta; Coleoptera; Lycidae.